GGCCGCGGCCAUUCCUUUAAGGCCUACACAUGCAAGUCGAGCGGAAGACAGACCCUUGCUUCUCUUGAGAGCGGCGGACGGGUGAGUAAUGCCUAGGAAUCUGCCUGGUAGUGGGGGAUAACGUUCGGAAACGGACGCUAAUACCGCAUACGUCCUACGGGAGAAAGCAGGGGACCUUCGGGCCUUGCGCUAUCAGAUGAGCCUAGGUCGGAUUAGCUAGUUGGUGAGGUAAUGGCUCACCAAGGCGACGAUCCGUAACUGGUCUGAGAGGAUGAUCAGUCACACUGGAACUGAGACACGGUCCAGACUCCUACGGGAGGCAGCAGUGGGGAAUAUUGGACAAUGGGCGAAAGCCUGAUCCAGCCAUGCCGCGUGUGUGAAGAAGGUCUUCGGAUUGUAAAGCACUUUAAGUUGGGAGGAAGGGCAGUUACCUAAUACGUGAUUGUUUUGACGUUACCGACAGAAUAAGCACCGGCUAACUCUGUGCCAGCAGCCGCGGUAAUACAGAGGGUGCAAGCGUUAAUCGGAAUUACUGGGCGUAAAGCGCGCGUAGGUGGUUAGUUAAGUUGGAUGUGAAAUCCCCGGGCUCAACCUGGGAACUGCAUUCAAAACUGACUGACUAUAGUAUGGUACAGGGUGGUGGAAUUUCC
RNAcentral lists this ribosomal RNA (650 nucleotides) under uncultured bacterium. RNAcentral's name for it is "bacterial SSU rRNA". It matches the Rfam family "Bacterial small subunit ribosomal RNA", at positions 21 to 671 of the family's 1533-position model. The record is from RNAcentral.